AAGACUCCUCCAGAUAGCAUGUUAUCAUGCCCUGCCGGCUACUUUUAUCGAUAGCAUUAUUGUUCAGUGGGUGCAAGAUCAGCCAUAGUUUAGAUAAGUUUGUACUGUUGUAACACUCUUGAGUUUUUAUUUGCUUGUUUGCCAUUAUUAACACAAAAUAAACAGCAAAUAUAUCUCUUAGUACUUCGCAAUGUUUUAUUUCGUAGUGGCAAAGUGCCGAUAGUUAGAUAAGCCUAACCCGUCGCGAGUUGUGCCUUCAUUUAAUACACUACCAUCUGCAGUGAAAUUGAUAUAAUCCCUAACAGCACGAACAAACCUGCUUCAGAAGUAAUAGCCUCUGCACCGCUGUCAUCGUCGUCAUCACCUUCAAAGUUUUGCUCAACAAGCCAUUUCGCAAUCACGCCAGAAUGUUUUGCAAUCCAGUGCAGAUUUUCUUCUGCCUGUGCAAGAGCACGAGUUGCUGCCUGCAUCGAUGAAGGAUUCAACGAUGUUUGUCCAUCAUUCCUUCAAUCAUUUUAUCAUUUUACGUACCAUAUCGUACUCCCUUGGAGAGUUAACACUGUCGCCGAGAGCGUUAAACAUCGCCGAAAGCUCAUGAUUGAGCAUGUUUGAAACCGUAUCGAAUCGUGCACUCACAUAGCGGAACGCUGCACUCCGUGUUGCCGGACCUCCUUUAAUCAUGCUGUUCAGGAUGUUAUUUUUCAUGCUCACCGUGAUCGGAAGUGCGGUUUCAUUUAUUUCAAUCAUUUGUAGAUAGAACUCGUUCAUGGCCAGAUUGCGGGAACAUCCCAACGCAUUAAUAAACUUAUCCAUCAACGGCUGGUAUUGAUCCAUCGCUAGCCAGUAUUUUUGGAAAAUCUCCAAGCCAUAGUCUCCUUCAACGAGCAGAUCAUAUUUGUGCAAUGCACAAAAGACGGCGUUUUGCAAUUCUUUGGGAAUGUUUAACGUUUCCUCGGCAAGUGCUUCUUCUAUUAUUUUAGUUGCAGCAUCCAAGCACGUCUCAACACCGAAAUAACACGCCAAGUAAACGGACUUGUCACGAUGUAAACGGUUCAGAUGGCUUUCAAUAUCAAAUAGAUUCAUUUCGUUAAACACAUGCGAGGCUAAACUUCCUA
Molecule: long non-coding RNA, 1115 nt
Organism: Anopheles arabiensis
Lineage: Eukaryota; Metazoa; Arthropoda; Insecta; Diptera; Culicidae
Exons: 2
Source: RefSeq, a predicted model, not a curated record